UUUGUUUUUUACUUUAACACUAACUUACUUUAAUGUUUAUCUUCCUUCGGAACUUAAUGUUUUUUCCUUAAAUUUACAUUAUUAACUGUAGUACUUUUUACAGGUCGUAAGAACUCUCAAGCUUAUUUACAAGACUUCUGCAGCACAGCAAGGGGGUCAGACACCGUGGAAAUCUUUAACGAAAGUCCACCAACAAACAAACGGCCUUUUUUACAAGCAGCAGGAAAUUCAAGUCGACUUCCCUUCCACCGUGGAUCUUCGUCAUUGACCUUGGGAAGACAUCAGCCAUCGAUUAUCUUCAAGGUAGCAGGGACGUCAAGUCUACAUCAGGACGGCUCCAGGACAUCAGGGGCGUCAAGUCUACAUCAGGACGGCUCCAGGACAUCAGGGACGUCAAGUCUACAUCAGGACGGCUCCAGGACAUCAGGGACGUCAAGUCUACAUCAGGACGGCUCCAGGACAUC
Long non-coding RNA from Agrilus planipennis (emerald ash borer), 464 nucleotides. RefSeq lists it as uncharacterized. The transcript has 3 exons. Lineage: Eukaryota; Metazoa; Arthropoda; Insecta; Coleoptera; Buprestidae. The record is from RefSeq and is a predicted model, not a curated record.